This 452-nucleotide ribosomal RNA is filed under the name uncultured bacterium. RNAcentral describes it as "bacterial SSU rRNA". It matches the Rfam family "Bacterial small subunit ribosomal RNA", at positions 32 to 481 of the family's 1533-position model. The record is from RNAcentral.
AAUCAACGCUGGCGGCGUGCCUCAGACAUGCAAGUCGAACGCGAAAGUCCCCUUCGGGGGGACAAGUAGAGUGGCGCACGGGUGAGUAACACGUAGGUAAUCUACCUUUGGAUGGGGAAUAACAACCGGAAACGGUUGCUAAUACCGCAUAAUGCAGCGGCACCUAAUGGUGACAGUUGUUAAAGCGGGGGAUCGAAAGACCUCGCGUCUGAAGAGGAGCCUGCGGCGGAUUAGCUAGNGGUAAGGUAAUGGCUUACCAAGGCUACGAUCCGUAACCGGCCUGAGAGGGCGGUCGGUCACACUGACACUGACAUACGGGUCAGACUCCUACGGGAGGCAGCAGUCGGGAAUUUUGGGCAAUGGGCGAAAGCCUGACCCAGCAACGCCGCGUGAGUGAAGAAGGCCUUAGGGUUGUAAAGCUCUUUCAGCGGAGAAGAUAAUGACGGUAUCCG